CGAGGGGCAGCGGUGGUGAAGGCUUGCCUUUACCAGCCGGCGACCGGCGCACGGGUGAGUAACACGUAUGCAACCUGCCUGCCACAGCCGGAUAAUCGGGAGAAAUUCCGUCUAAUACGGCAUAAUGCAUCGACGGGACAUCCUGUUGGUGCCAAAGGUUGAUUCCGGUGGCGGAUGGGCAUGCGUCGCAUUAGUUAGUUGGCGGUGUAACGGACCACCAAGACGACGAUGCGUAGGGGUUCUGAGAGGAAGGUCCCCCACACUGGUACUGAGACACGGACCAGACUCCUACGGGAGGCAGCAGUGAGGAAUAUUGGUCAAUGGGCGGGAGCCUGAACCAGCCAAGUCGCGUGAGGGAUGACGGCCCUAUGGGUUGUAAACCUCUUUUGCCGGGGAGCAAAGUGCCGCACGUGUGCGGUUUGGAAAAUACCCGGAGAAAAAGCAUCGGCUAACUCCAAGCCAGCAGCCGCGGUAAUACGGAGGAUGCGAGCGUUAUCCGGAUUUAUUGGGUUUAAAGGGUGCGUAGGCGGACGCUUAAGUCAGCGGUAAAAUUGCGGGGCUCAACCUCGUCGAGCCGUUGAAACUGGGUGCCUUGAGUGGGCGAGAAGUACGCGGAAUGCGUGGUGUAGCGGUGAAAUGCAUAGA
This 645-nucleotide ribosomal RNA is filed under the name uncultured bacterium. Its description in RNAcentral is "bacterial SSU rRNA". It matches the Rfam family "Bacterial small subunit ribosomal RNA", at positions 63 to 694 of the family's 1533-position model. The record is from RNAcentral.